Molecule: long non-coding RNA, 912 nt
Organism: Lycium barbarum (goji berry)
Lineage: Eukaryota; Viridiplantae; Streptophyta; Magnoliopsida; Solanales; Solanaceae
Exons: 2
Source: RefSeq, a predicted model, not a curated record
CUUUGCAGUAGUGGACUCAAGAAUUUAGAAGCUAUUGUUCCUCUUGCUGUAAACAAUACGUGAGCUCUUGUGCUUUAAGGCAGCUGGAAAUGCAGCAUUUCAAUCAGGAAAGCAUCCAGAAGCUGUUAAGCAUUAUACUGCCGCAGUAUCAUGUAAUUGUGAUGCGUCCUUUCACAGCAAUCUGUUUCUACAAUCGCGCUGCUGCAUGCCCAGCUAUGGGCCAAAUUUCAGACGCCAUUGCAGAUUGCAGCCUGGCAAUUGCCCUUGAUGGGAAUUAUGCAAGGUAUGGUUCCAAAUUGAUCUUUCGGUGCAGCUAUUGAAUGCAAUUUCUUUCUUGGGCCUACUUUCUUUGUGGUAGUCCUUGGAGGGAGAACCUUUUGAUUACCCAUCUUUUGUCUUCUAACAUAAACUCCCUCAAAUGCUCAGAAGGAAACGAGAAAACGGUUUCCUCUGGUAGUUUAUUAUUCCAGAAGUUGAAAGCUUGUACUGUUCAAAGUUGUUGAUAUGCUUUUGCCUUUUUCUCUUUUUUUUUUUUUUUUUUGAUGAAAUAAGUAGUUCCAUUAAGACGCAUCAAGGAGAUGCUGAAAUUACAUAUGGGAACACAAAAAUAACGAUAGCUCCUGUACAAAAAGGCCUAUUCUAAAGUCAGAGAGCUAACAAAGUCCAAGAGCUGCACGGAACUGUUUAAAAUAGUAAGAUUGUUGCAACAAAAUAAAUUAAGAAGACACUUAGCCUUUCGGGAAUGUGUCAGAGUUGAGAUUCCAUCAAAACAUCUGCGGUUUCUCCCAGUCCAAACAAACCAAAAAAUACUUGCAGGGAUCUUGAUCCAGUUUUUCUUGAGGUCCUAUCAACUAUCCAAUAUCCAUGAGCACCAACUUUUAUAGGCAUUUUUAACUUAGCUGGGGUGACCCA